RNAcentral lists this ribosomal RNA (460 nucleotides) under uncultured bacterium. Its description in RNAcentral is "partial 16S ribosomal RNA". It matches the Rfam family "Bacterial small subunit ribosomal RNA", at positions 338 to 795 of the family's 1533-position model. The record is from RNAcentral.
CCUACGGGAGGCAGCAGUGAGGAAUAUUGGUCAAUGGACGAGAGUCUGAACCAGCCAAGUAGCGUGAAGGAUGACUGCCCUAUGGGUUGUAAACUUCUUUUAUAUGGGAAUAAAAUGUUCCACGUGUGGGAUUUUGUAUGUACCAUAUGAAUAAGGCUCGGCUAACCCCGUGCCAGCAGCCGAGGUAAUACGGAGGAUCCGAGCGUUACUCGGAUUUGUUGGGUUUAAAGGGAGCGUAGGUGGAUUGGUAAGUCAGUUGUGAAAGUUUGCGGCUCAACCGUAAAAUUGCAGUUGAAACUGGCAGUCUUGAGUACAGUAGAGGUGGGCGGAAUGCGUGGUGUAGCGGUGAAAUGCUUAGAUAUCACGAAGAACUCCGAUUGCGAAGGCAGUUCACUGGACUGCAACUGACACUGAGGCUCGAAAGCGUGGGUAUCAAACAGGAUUAGAUACCCUUGUAGUC